Molecule: transfer RNA, 72 nt
Filed under: Candidatus Woesearchaeota archaeon
Lineage: Archaea; Nanobdellati; Candidatus Woesearchaeota
Description: tRNA-Ala
Rfam family: tRNA
About the family: Transfer RNA (tRNA) molecules are approximately 80 nucleotides in length. Their secondary structure includes four short double-helical elements and three loops (D, anti-codon, and T loops).
Source: RNAcentral
GGGCUUGUGGUCUAACGGCAUGACGUCACCUUCGCAGGGUGAAGGCUGGGGGUUCGAAUCCCCCCAAGUCCA